AUUGAACGCUGGCGGCAGGCCUAACACAUGCAAGUCGAGCGGAUGAAGGGUGCUUGCUCCUGGAUUCAGCGGCGGACGGGUGAGUAAUGCCUAGGAAUCUGCCUGGUAGUGGGGGAUAACGUCCGGAAACGGGCGCUAAUACCGCAUACGUCCUGAGGGAGAAAGUGGGGGAUCUUCGGACCUCACGCUAUCAGAUGAGCCUAGGUCGGAUUAGCUAGUUGGUGGGGUAAAGGCCUACCAAGGCGACGAUCCGUAACUGGUCUGAGAGGAUGAUCAGUCACACUGGAACUGAGACAAGGUCCAGACUCCUACGGGAGGCAGCAGUGGGGAAUAUUGGACAAUGGGCGAAAGCCUGAUGGAGCCAUGCCGCGUGUGUAGAGAAGGUCUUCGGAUUGUAAGGCACUUUAAGUUGGGAGAAAGGGCAGUAGGUUAAUACCUUGCUGUUAUGACGAUACCAGCAGAAUAAGCACCGGCUAACUAAGUG
RNAcentral lists this ribosomal RNA (484 nucleotides) under uncultured bacterium. RNAcentral describes it as "partial 16S ribosomal RNA". It matches the Rfam family "Bacterial small subunit ribosomal RNA", at positions 30 to 507 of the family's 1533-position model. The record is from RNAcentral.